UUAACUCAGGUCUUCUCAGGUCAGGUUUUUCCUCUUUUAUAACCUGAUUUUCAUGGCUUUGUGGGCUCAAAUGAGAGAGGUCCAAGUCCAAGAUUUUUCUAUUAUAUUUUAUUUAUCUAUUUAUUUAUUUAUUUGUUUUUUUUUUCAUUUUUUUUUUUCAUUUUUUUUUCGUUUUUUUUUCGUAACACGUGGGCUUCGCCUAGCGAGCAUGACAGUUCAUGAACAAACUUUUGCUCCUUCAAGAUUAACGUUUUGACUGACGAAUAGACCUCUGUUGGAAGUAACUCAAGUCUUUCCAUUGUGUUGACUGAUCAUCUAAAUAGAACCCACAAAGUGUCUUGGAUGAUGUUCAAGCUUCUUG
RNAcentral lists this long non-coding RNA (361 nucleotides) under Lathyrus oleraceus (garden pea). Its description in RNAcentral is "Pisum sativum (pea) long non-coding RNA (PSAT_LNC037594)". The record is from RNAcentral. Lineage: Eukaryota; Viridiplantae; Streptophyta; Magnoliopsida; Fabales; Fabaceae.